CAGUAGCCGCGGUAAAACGAAGGGGGCUAGCGUUGCUCGGAAUGACUGGGCGUAAAGGGCGCGUAGGCGGUUCGGAUAGUCAGAUGUGAAAUUCCUAGGCUUAACCUGGGGGCUGCAUUUGAUACUUGGUUGCUUGAGUGGGGAAGAGGGUCGUGGAAUUCCCAGUGUAGAGGUGAAAUUCGUAGAUAUUGGGAAGAACACCGGUGGCGAAGGCGGCAACCUGGUCCAUUACUGACGCUGAGGCGCGAAAGCGUGGGGAGCAAACAGGAUUAGAUACCCGGGUAGUCCCUGUCUCUUAUAC
Molecule: ribosomal RNA, 301 nt
Filed under: uncultured bacterium
Lineage: Bacteria
Description: partial 16S ribosomal RNA
Rfam family: Bacterial small subunit ribosomal RNA
Source: RNAcentral